Molecule: ribosomal RNA, 969 nt
Filed under: Escovopsis cf. weberi UGM030330-04
Lineage: Eukaryota; Fungi; Ascomycota; Sordariomycetes; Hypocreales; Hypocreaceae
Description: SSU rRNA
Rfam family: Eukaryotic small subunit ribosomal RNA
Source: RNAcentral
GAUAAUACCUUACUACUUGGAUAACCGUGGUAAUUCUAGAGCUAAUACAUGCUAAAAAUCCCGACUUCGGAAGGGUUGUAUUUAUUAGAUUAAAAACCAAUGCCCUUCGGGGCUCUCUGGUGAAUCAUGAUAACUAGUCGAAUCGACAGGCCUUGUGCCGGCGAUGGCUCAUUCAAAUUUCUUCCCUAUCAACUUUCGAUGUUUGGGUAUUGGCCAAACAUGGUGGCAACGGGUAACGGAGGGUUAGGGCUCGACCCCGGAGAAGGAGCCUGAGAAACGGCUACUACAUCCAAGGAAGGCAGCAGGCGCGCAAAUUACCCAAUCCCGACACGGGGAGGUAGUGACAAUAAAUACUGAUACAGGGCUCUUUUGGGUCUUGUAAUCGGAAUGAGUACAAUUUAAAUCCCUUAACGAGGAACAAUUGGAGGGCAAGUCUGGUGCCAGCAGCCGCGGUAAUUCCAGCUCCAAUAGCGUAUAUUAAAGUUGUUGUGGUUAAAAAGCUCGUAGUUGAACCUUGGGCCUGGCUGGCCGGUCCGCCUCACCGCGUGCACUGGUCCGGCCGGGCCUUUCCCUCUGCGGAACCCCAUGCCCUUCACUGGGCGUGGCGGGGAAACAGGACUUUUACUUUGAAAAAAUUAGAGUGCUCAAGGCAGGCCUAUGCUCGAAUACAUUAGCAUGGAAUAAUGAAAUAGGACGUUGCGGUUCUAUUUUGUUGGUUUCUAGGACCGCCGUAAUGAUUAAUAGGGACAGUCGGGGGCAUCAGUAUUCAAUUGUCAGAGGUGAAAUUCUUGGAUUUAUUGAAGACUAACUACUGCGAAAGCAUUUGCCAAGGAUGUUUUCAUUAAUCAGGAACGAAAGUUAGGGGAUCGAAGACGAUCAGAUACCGUCGUAGUCUUAACCAUAAACUAUGCCGACUAGGGAUCGGACGAUGUUAUAUUUUUUGACGCGUUCGGCACCUUACGAGAAAUC